GACGAACGCUGGCGGCAGGCUUAACACAUGCAAGUCGAACGGGUGCAGCAAUGCAUCAGUGGCAGACGGGUGAGUAACACGUGGGAACCUUCCUAGGGGUACGGAACAACUCAGGGGAAACUUGAGCUAAUACCGUAUACGUCCGUGAGGAGAAAGAUUUAUCGCCCUUAGACGGGCCCGCGUCGGAUUAGCUAGUUGGUGGGGUAACGGCCUACCAAGGCGACGAUCCGUAGCUGAUCUUAGAGGAUGAUCAGCCACACUGGGACUGAGACACGGCCCAGACUCCUACGGGAGGCAGCAGUGGGGAAUCUUGGACAAUGGGCGCAAGCCUGAUCCAGCCAUGCCGCGUGAGUGAAGAAGGUCUUCGGAUUGUAAAGCUCUUUUGCCAGGGACGAUAAUGACGGUACCUGGAGAAUAAGCCCCGGCAAACUUCGUGCCAGCCGCCGCUGUAA
This 452-nucleotide ribosomal RNA is filed under the name uncultured bacterium. RNAcentral's name for it is "partial 16S ribosomal RNA". It matches the Rfam family "Bacterial small subunit ribosomal RNA", at positions 28 to 523 of the family's 1533-position model. The record is from RNAcentral.